UCCUGAGUGUUCCCGCUUGACUCGGAAUCACUGGGCGUAAAGGAUGCGUAGGCUGGAAAUCAAGUCGAGAGUGAAAUCCAACGGCUCAACCGUUGAACUGCUCUCGAAACUGGUUACCUAGAAUAUGGGAGAGGUAGAUGGAAUUAGUGGUGUAGGGGUAAAAUCCGUAGAUAUCACUAGGAAUACCGAUUGCGAAGGCGAUCUACUGGAACAUUAUUGACGCGGAGGCAUGAAAGCGUGGGGAGCAAACAGGAGGAGAUAACCCGGUAGUCC
This 273-nucleotide ribosomal RNA is filed under the name uncultured bacterium. RNAcentral describes it as "partial 16S ribosomal RNA". It matches the Rfam family "Bacterial small subunit ribosomal RNA", at positions 524 to 796 of the family's 1533-position model. The record is from RNAcentral.